RNAcentral lists this long non-coding RNA (1241 nucleotides) under Coturnix japonica (Japanese quail). Its description in RNAcentral is "lncRNA (ENSCJPG00005000282.1)". Lineage: Eukaryota; Metazoa; Chordata; Aves; Galliformes; Phasianidae. The record is from RNAcentral.
AGAGCAGAGCUCCCUCUCCAGCGGGGAGACCUGGUGUAUUUAAACACCGGCGAGCAGCUUCAGCUUGAUUUCGCCGGCCUCAAGCCCAGACAGCGGCAGAAGGCAGCAGAUGUGGGCGGGCGCCCGCUGGAGCCCCGCUUUCAGCAGCUAUCGCCGCCAAGCCACCUGCGCGGCCACAGCCAGAGCUCCAGCCCGGCUCCGCUCGGUCCCGCAGCCCGGCUCGGCCCGGAGACCGGAGCCACCCCCUCCCGACCCCGCUUCACGUCCCCCGGCCGCGUCCUCCCGAUCCGGGGCCGUCCCCCGGCCGCUGCCCGGGUCGGCGCCGCCGCUCGGACCGUCUCCGUAGCAACGACGAAACGCGGCCCCCCCCCGCACUCCCCCGACCCCCGGCAGCUCCGGCGAGGGCUCCCCCUGCCCGCCGCCGCCUCGGUCCGGCACGGCGCUGACCGCGGCUCACCUCGGGGCAGGUGCCCGCAGCCCGCUCCGGCUGCCGAGCCGCAGGGACGAGCGCCCGCGCCGCAGAACCGCCGGCCCAGCUGUGCGGCUGUGGCGGAGCGGGAGGAGCCGAGCAGCCUCCCCUCCUCUCCCCGCUCCGCCCAGUGCGCAGCGGCGGCCCCGGAGUCCCCGCAGAGCCCGUCGCGGCUGGGCCGCACCUGCCGGGGAGGAGCAGGGUCAUAAGGACAGAGACGCUGCUUCUUAUCUGGGCCAGUGAACUUAUGUGCAACACAAAACUGUUGUUUAAACGUUACUUUUGUUCCAGGGCUAAUUUGAGCCUUGCCAUCUUAGCCAUGCUCACAACUUGUUUCACUGUGCAGUGCAGACAUGACAAGGUAAAUGAUGCGCAGUCUCCCUAUACUCAGAAAUUUCUUACACAUCUAAAACAACAUCACAGAUUAAGGCCUUGCCACUUGGUAGUGAAACUUAGUUGUAGAGGUUGACUGAGGAGCAUACAUGAGGAACAGCAUUAAAUACCAGUAUUUGGCAUUGGAUAUUUUGUUCUACAUUAAGCUGUAGUAGGUGUCGUUUAGAACUCUCACAUCUCAUGAGCAGAUCUUAUAGUAGAUUUUAUUACAUGCAUAUCAAUAAUACAAACAGUCUUUUUGUGUUCAAAGACAGUUGAUAUAUUGCUGGUGCUGAAAUGAGCUAAUUGGCAGUUUUAAAAGCCGUGUCAUCUGUGAGAGCUAUAAACCAAGACUCUAUAAUGACCUUAAAUAAAGAAAGAAUAUGUCAUGUUGCUGCCA